UCAAGUUAUUAAGGGUGCAGGGCGAAUGCCUUGGCACUAGGAGCCGAUGAAGGACGUGAUAAGCUGCGAUAAGCUUCGGGGAGUUGCACGUAAACUUUGAUCCGAAGAUUUCCGAAUGAGGAAACUCACUUAGAGUAAUGUCUAAGUAUCGUAUGAUGAAUACAUAGUCAUGCGAGGGGAACCCGGAGAACUGAAACAUCUAAGUACCCGGAGGAAGAGAAAGAAAUUCGAUUCCGUAAGUAGCGGCGAGCGAACGCGGAACAGGCCAAACCAGUGAAGUUUUCUUCGCUGGGGUUGCGGACAUAUCAUAACGAAGAGGUAUCGUAGAGGAAGAGAGUUGGAAAGCUCCGCCAUAGAUGGUAACAGCCCAGUACUUUAAACGAGAAGACUUUAGAUAUGAUCCAGAGUACCACGGGACACGUGAAACCCUGUGGGAAGCAGGAGGGACCAUCCUCCAAGCCUAAAUACUACCUAGUGACCGAUAGCGUAUAGUACCGUGAGGGAAAGGUGAAAAGAACCCCGGGAGGGGAGUGAAAGAGAACCUGAAACCCUGCACUUACAAGCUGUAGGAGCACAUUUCUUGUGUGACUGCGUACUUUUUGUAGAACGGGCCAACGAGUUACGUUGUGUAGCAAGGUUAAGCACUUAAGGUGUGGAGCCGUAGCGAAAGCGAGUCUUAAAUGGGCGUCUAGUUACCCGACGUAGACCCGAAACCAGGCGACCUAUCCAUGAGCAGGUUGAAGCGAAAGUAAAAUUUCGUGGAGGACCGAACCCACGUACGUUGAAAAGUGCGGGGAUGACUUGUGGAUAGCGGUGAAAUUCCAAUCGAGCCUGGAGAUAGCUGGUUCUCCCCGAAAUAGCUUUAGGGCUAGCCUCAAGAUUAGAGAAGCGGAGGUAGAGCACUGAAUGUCCUAGGGGGUAUUGCACUUACCGAAGACUAUCAAACUCCGAAUGCCGUAUUCUUUUGCUUGGGAGUCAGACUAUGGGUGAUAAGAUUCAUAGUCAAGAGGGCAACAGCCCAGAUCGUCAGCUAAGGUCCCUAAAUGUAAGUUAAGUGGUAAAGGAUGUGGAAUUGCACAGACAACCAGGAUGUUGGCUUAGAAGCAGCCACUCAUUUAAAGAGUGCGUAAUAGCUCACUGGUCGAGUGAUUCUGCGCCGAAAAUUUCCGGGGCUAAAACUUACUACCGAAGCUACGGCAUCAUUAUGAUGGGUAGGGGAGCUUUCUAUACGGGUUGAAGCAUGACCGUAAGGACAUGUGGACUGUAUAGAAGUGAGAAUGUUGGCAUGAGUAGCGAGAUGUGGGUGAGAAUCCCACAGGCCGUAAACCCAAGGUUUCCAGGGGAAGGUUCGUCCGCCCUGGGUUAGUCAGGACCUAAGCCGAGGCCGAAAGGCGUAGGUGAUGGACAACAGGUUGAUAUUCCUGUACCACCAAUAACCGUUUGAGAAAUGGGAUGACACAGUAGGAUAAGCUAACCGCACUGUUGGUUAUGUGCGGGCAAGUAUUGAGGCAGUUCCGAUAGGCAAAUCCGUCGGAAUAAUGCUGGGGUACGAUGCGGAGCGAAAUUAAGUAGCGAAGUAGCUGAUUUCACACUGUCGAGAAAAGUCUCUAUCGAGGUUAAAGGUGCCUGUACCGCAAACCGACACAGGUGGGUGAGGAGAGUAUCCUAAGGCCAGCGAGAGAACUGUUGUUAAGGAACUCGGCAAAAUGACCCCGUAACUUAGGGAGAAGGGGUGCCUUCGAAAGAAGGCCGCAGAGAAUAGGCCCAAGCGACUGUUUACCAAAAACAUAGGUUUCUGCUAAGUCGCAAGACGAUGUAUAGGAGCUGACGCCUGCCCGGUGCUGGAAGGUUAAGGGGAUCUGUUAGAGCAAUCGAAGCAGUGAACUUAAGCCCCAGUAAACGGCGGCCGUAACUAUAACGGUCCUAAGGUAGCGAAAUUCCUUGUCGGGUAAGUUCC
This 1957-nucleotide ribosomal RNA is filed under the name human gut metagenome. RNAcentral describes it as "bacterial LSU rRNA". It matches the Rfam family "Bacterial large subunit ribosomal RNA", at positions 3 to 1984 of the family's 2925-position model. The record is from RNAcentral.